UACUAGAGUAGCACUCGCAUAUCAAUAAGCGGAGGAAAAGAAACUAACAAGGAUUCCCCUAGUAACGGCGAGUGAAGCGGGAAGAGCUCAAAUUUGAAAUCUUAAAGGGUUUCCCUUUACGAAUUGUAGUUUAAAGAAGUGUUUUCUGUUGAGGUUUUGGUAAAAGUUCUUUGGAAUAGGACAUCAUAGAGGGUGAGAAUCCCGUAUUUGACCUUUACUUUCAACUUUGUGAUACACUUUCAAAGAGUCGGAUUGUUUGGGAAUGCAGUCCAAAAUGGGUGGUAAAUUUCAUCUAAAGCUAAAUAUUGGCGAGAGACCGAUAGCGAACAAGUACCGUGAGGGAAAGAUGAAAAGAACUUUGAAAAGAGAGUUAAACAGUACGUGAAAUUGUCAAAAGGGAAGCGUUUGACACCAGCGUUGUUUUUCUGAAAAUCAAUUAAAGAACUGUUUAUGCUAAGCUGUUUAGACUUUAUCAGCUAUCUGUUUAGUUUUGAGCUUUUCUUUAAUGCACUUUUCAGUUAACAAGUCAACAUCAAUUUCUUUUGCUGUAAAAAAGCUUGAGGAAGGUGGCUUGAGAUUCGUCUUAAGUGUUUAUAGCCUCUUGCCUAUGCAGUCGGAGAGAUUGAGGUCUGCAGCGUAGAUCCUUCGGGGCUAAAUGCAUUUGUGCUAAGUUAUAGCAUUUUAUAGACAACUUGUUGACUAUGAUUCGUCUUGUAGCUUACUCGCUUAUGUUAUUUUACCUACGCUUAGGAUGUUGAGCGCAUGUCUCUCUCU
RNAcentral lists this ribosomal RNA (774 nucleotides) under uncultured Neocallimastigales. RNAcentral's name for it is "partial large subunit ribosomal RNA". It matches the Rfam family "Eukaryotic large subunit ribosomal RNA", at positions 20 to 616 of the family's 3401-position model. The record is from RNAcentral. Lineage: Eukaryota; Fungi; Neocallimastigomycota; Neocallimastigomycetes; Neocallimastigales.